UGUUUUCACACCUCCUAACCUCAUUAGCAUAAAUCGGAAGAAUUCGGAGAUAAACGUAAUAAAAUAUGAACAAAAUCCGUAAACGUCCGAACAGCUUUCCUCGCGAGAAUUCAGCGAGACCAACAUGCUACAGGUGAAAAUCGAGAGAGAAAUUCAACAUGAAAAAAGAGGUACAGCUGUAGAGUACAUUUUGAACAGCCAUCUCCAGGAUAUACUCUGAAGACAGUGAUGUGCUAGUUCAAGGUUUGCCUGUUUUCAGCUGUAACAAAACAAAUUGAUGAAAGCUUCAACCACGAGAAUCUAGGAAUGGAUGUCAAGUCCAAAGAGAAGGCCAUAUAACAAAUGGUUGCUGAAUUCAUGAAGACUAGCUGGGAUGAUACAGUACUUUUCUACUCAUAUGAACCAUAUCUAAACAUCAUUUGAGGAUCCCUUUCUCAGAAAAAAAGAAUUUGCAUACUCAAAGGCUCUAUAGUU
This is a long non-coding RNA of Saccostrea cuccullata (small rock oyster), 474 nucleotides long. RefSeq lists it as uncharacterized. Lineage: Eukaryota; Metazoa; Mollusca; Bivalvia; Ostreida; Ostreidae. The record is from RefSeq and is a predicted model, not a curated record. The transcript is spliced from 5 exons.